This is a long non-coding RNA of Poecilia latipinna (sailfin molly), 927 nucleotides long. RefSeq lists it as uncharacterized. The record is from RefSeq and is a predicted model, not a curated record. The transcript has 2 exons. NCBI's taxonomy places the organism in Eukaryota, Metazoa, Chordata, Actinopteri, Cyprinodontiformes, Poeciliidae.
AGUCAUAAGGCGCUGCGCAGUUGGCUGCAUAAAGGAUGCCAACCAAACUUAUCAUUUUAUUGUAUAACUUUUAAAGAGGAAAGAUGGCGGCGAUGGAUUGCAGCCGUCAAUCAUAAUGACUGACAGCUAAUGACUGACAGCCCUCGGUGUAAUCGCGGAUUUACAGGGAACACAAGAUGUUUCCAGGUCACAUGGAGCAGGACACCAGGCUGCAGGACACCAGGCUGCAGGACACCAGGCUGCAGGACAUCAGGCUGCAGGACACCAGGCUGCAGGACACCAGGCUGCAGGACAUCAGGCUGCAGGGCAUCGGGCUGCAGGACACCAGACUGUAGGACACCAGGCUGCAGGACACCAGGCUGCAGGACACCAGGCUGCAGGACAUCAGGCUGCAGGACACCAGGCUGUAGGACAUCGGGCUGCAGGACUUCAGGCUGCAGGACACCAGGCUGCAGGACACCAGGCUGUAGGACACCAGGCUGUAGGACACCAGGCUUCAGGACACCAGGCUUCAGGACACCAGGCUGUAGGACAUCAGGCUGCAGGACACCAGGCUGUAGGACACCAGGCUUCAGGACACCAGGCUGCAGGCCGCAGCAUCAUCUGGGCUGGAGACGUCACAGGACGAUGGAAAAGCUUCCUUAGUUUAUUAUCCAGCAGAAUUCUUAUCUCAGUCACUUCAGGGUCGUUUAUCUGGACACCAGGGUCUGUUAUCUUUAGCUGUUACUUGACCUGUUGGUGUAAAGUCCUCGCUUAAAUUACGCCAUAUUUCAUUUAUAAUCCUGCAGGUUGGCUGUCAUCUCGGUUUUUUAUUAAUCUGCUAUGAUUCCCUCUUAUAGUACACUGACAAAAUGAUUCUGUGGUGAAGUAAACUUCCCGUAGCUGAAUCUGUGAAAUCAACAAUGCAAAUUCAAGUUGGUAUCUUAA